GCUUGGAGGAAGUGGAUGGCUGAAGGAACGAGCUGCCUAAGAGACCCACCCAAGGUCCCUGUUUCUGGAGAGGAAGAGACUGUAGCACGCUCCGCGAACUUGCGCGGCGCCGCGGUGACGCACUUCCGGCUAAGCCGUCGUUCGAACCUCAGUCAAGGCUGGCGUAACUUCCGGAGCAAACGGGUCCGAGACCGCGACCUUUGCCCUUCCCGGAGACAGGGGGCCUAUCCCCACCUCUCCCCGUCCCAGUAUUAGUUCCUUCCUUGGGCUUGAAUGAGUCCGACCCCAGGAAACCGAAAUAUCCCGAGGCCACCGCGAGACAGGAAGGAGUUGGCGACCAACGAGGAGAAAAGAGGGACUGCCCCAGAGGUUGCCGGGAUAUAUAGGGGAAACUGACUAGGAGAGGGGCCGAGAAGUAUCCUCUAGUUCCGCCUGGGCUGGCUCAGUGCACAGAGUUCUUGCUGUCCUCCAAGUGAAAAAGAUGGGAGACCAAGUGACCUCAGUCAUGUUAAUUACCGCCAGGCCUAAGGACCAUGUGAAGAGAAGCAAGACUGUUCUGGCGUUUCAGGAAUCAGUGACAUUCAAAGAUGUGGCUGUGUACUUCACCCAGGUGGAAUGGGGGCAGUUGGACUCUGUUCAAAAGGAUUUAUAUAGGGAUGUGAUGCUAGAGACUUACAGGAACCUGGUCUCCUUGGGUAAGAUGGUUUUGCCUUGUGUCUUUUCUCCCCCUAGGAUUUUGUUGUUUUUAUUUCCGUGUUCAUGGCUAUGGAGAAUUCUAAAGUAUGCUGAGCUGAGAUUUGGCUCAGAGUUUUGGUAUCAGAGCUGCCUAAUCACUUUUGAUUAUUUUAAUCUCUGAUACAUGGCAUUUUUUUCU
This 874-nucleotide long non-coding RNA is filed under the name Vombatus ursinus (common wombat). Its description in RNAcentral is "lncRNA (ENSVURG00010001139.1)". Lineage: Eukaryota; Metazoa; Chordata; Mammalia; Diprotodontia; Vombatidae. The record is from RNAcentral.